AGGCUGGAGUGCAGUGGUGCCAUUUCGGCUCACUGCAACCUCUGCCUCCCGGGUUCAAGUGACUCCCCUGUCUCAGCUUCCCAAUUAUGAAGAUCAGAAAAAAGGAAGAAAACUAAUGUUACUAAAUUAUUUCACGUGAUCUCGGGAAACACCAGUAGGAGAGUGAACAAGGUAGAAAGGGAAUGGAAAUGAGCAAAUAUAGACCAUGCAGAGUUCUUCAACAAGCAACUUAUUCCUAUUGAGGAGCCUUUUUGGGUGUCCAUCUAUAUUGCCCCCCAAAAAAGAUACUAUCUUCUAUUUUUAUCUUCAUCACCAUCUACAGUUGACUCCUGCAUGUCUGCAAAUCUUUCCACUCAUAGAAAAAAAAUCUAUCCUGAGCACUGAAAUUAGUCUUCCAAAAUAAAGCCUUCCAGAGAUGGAUACUGAGAAUUAAUUAAUAGCAUCAUAUUUAAUAGAUGGAAGUAAGUUAUCUGUGAAAAACAUUUCUUCAGUUACAUUUUGUCUUCUUGCCUCCACUAAUAUAAAAGCUUACUGUCAUUUUGUUGAGCCUUUGAAAGAUUUUAGUUAGGGCCUCUCUCCAGAAGGGCAGCUGGAAUUUUACAUGGUGACUCCAGGCUCCAGAAGACUCAGAAGAAGAUGUCAGUCAAUUUUAAGGCUUGGGCCUAAUAUGCAGUCUUCUUCUGGGCCAUCACCUACCUUCUCAGCCUCCUCCACAAAGGCAGAGACAGCAGAUUUCCUCAGUGAACUUCUUCUACUUAUUAAAAAAAAGUAACUGUAAAGCAGCCUCAAGGAGGUCCUUCAGGAGGCAUUCUGGAAGAAAGCAUUAUUGUCAUAGGUGAUGACAGCUCCAUGCAUGUGAUUUCCCCCAAAGACCUUCCAGUGGGACAAGACACAGUGGCAGAAGACAGCAAUUUUAAUGAAGCUAAUCUUGUGAAGGCCUAGGAUAAUGGCCCUGCCUGUGGAUAGUCACCAGUCAACAUUGGCAUCUCAAGGACAAGUUUGCCAAGAUUAGAAGUGCUUAUAUUUUGGGAACACGCUGGCCACUUGCACAUCAGAGAUCUCUGCUAUUAGAGAAAUUAUUUGGGAAUCCCUAGAAUGUUUGUAUGCUAGGCUAUUUCUUUUUGUGUUUAAAAUAUAUGGAACUUUCAAUGGAAGACUUUAAAAAUUACUCUUGUUUUGCCUAUGGCAUAAUACACAGAUAUAGUAAUUUUUAAAACCUUUGGUAAAUAAAGUAAAAAUUAUAAGGAAAACU
RNAcentral lists this long non-coding RNA (1252 nucleotides) under Homo sapiens (human). RNAcentral's name for it is "HSALNT0252423". The record is from RNAcentral. Lineage: Eukaryota; Metazoa; Chordata; Mammalia; Primates; Hominidae.